RNAcentral lists this ribosomal RNA (253 nucleotides) under uncultured bacterium. RNAcentral describes it as "partial 16S ribosomal RNA". It matches the Rfam family "Bacterial small subunit ribosomal RNA", at positions 524 to 776 of the family's 1533-position model. The record is from RNAcentral.
GACGUAGGGCGCGAGCGUUGUCCGGAUUUAUUGGGCGUAAAGAGCGUGUAGGCGGCCAAGCAGGUCCGCUGUGAAAACUCGAGGCUCAACCUCGAGACGUCGGUGGAAACCGUUUGGCUAGAGUCCGGAAGAGGAGAGUGGAAUUCCUGGUGUAGCGGUGAAAUGCGCAGAUAUCAGGAGGAACACCAAUUGCGAAGGCAGCUCGCUGGGACGUUACUGACGCUGAGACGCGAAAGCGUGGGGAGCAAACAGG